This is a long non-coding RNA of Hirundo rustica (Barn swallow), 1410 nucleotides long. RefSeq lists it as uncharacterized. The record is from RefSeq and is a predicted model, not a curated record. The transcript has 6 exons. Lineage: Eukaryota; Metazoa; Chordata; Aves; Passeriformes; Hirundinidae.
GAUCAUUAUGGAGGAGGAGCCUUGAGGAGUAUGAAGCAGAGGCUCCUGGGGAGAGAGAAUGACUGCUGUAAGGAAUAGCUAUUUUUGGAAAUGAGACAGAGAAGAUGUAUUGUAAUUUCUGGUGUCUUCAUUUGAAUGGAUGCAGCUGUGUGAUGUCUUUGUCUGUACAGUGGAAAAGAGAAAAUCUUGUCUGCAUUAUAUGGCCAGUUCUUCUCUUGUGUAGCAGCCUGGCCUUACAUCUGGAAAGCAGCAUGUCUCUGUUGUUCAGGGACAAUCCCAGAGGUGUGGGUGUAGAUGCUGCUUUAUAUGUGAAGAGUCACUUCUGGAUAAGAAGAGUUCAUCAUCGUUGUGCUGGAGUUACUGAAUGGUGAAUCCUUAAUUUAAAAGCACAAGCAGUAUCAGAAAUGCUUGACAAGUGAGUCGCAGUGAAUCAAGUGACACCUCAGCUCACAAUACGUGUGUUUUUGAUUAUCAAUUAUUUAGAAAGGAGACUGCUCAUGCUGAUCAGCGUUCAGCACCAUGAGACCCAGUUUGACCUGUAAAUUCUGCGGGUGUCUAGACACACACAUGACCUUGAAGCCAGAUGGGAGAAGGACAUUAUUAAUUCAGCCAGGGGAUCUCAGAAAAGGCUUAACUCCUGUCAGAGGCUCAGAAUCCCCAAAGAAUCUGCAAGAUUUUUCAAGUGCAAGGUCAGUAUAUGGAAACAAUUCCUCACAGAAGUACUUUGCAGUCAUAUCAAACUCCUUUUUGAUAAGUGAAUCCAGCAGACUCCUAACCUAGAGAAGCAUUUGCCCUGUGGGUCUCGAGGACUCUGUUACAUCAUGGAGAACUUUCCAAAGCUGUCUUUUCGCAGAAAGUGGUGAUGUCACAGCCACAGUAAAGAAAGCAGAGGCCAGGAAGAUCCAUUGUGUGAUCUGCUCAUCUCAGUGGAUUGUAACCCGGUCAAUUUCCACCAUUAAAAAUGAAGGAAAGGGAAAAAUUACUUUAUUGCACAGACACCUUUUUGAUGGUAUGGAUGUGGGUUGCAGCAUGCACUUGCUGAAGAAGAAAGGCAAAAACAAGUGUCUCCUCAUGGGCUACCAAUUUCUUACCAGAAUUCACGUGCACCGCUGCUGUGCUUUGCUGGUUGGUAAUUAUCAGACUAAAUACUAAUUUUUUUAGGUGGAGAGCACAAACACAAACUAUCAAAAAUCAAAGAUUUCCAAGAAAAGAUACUUUGAUGCAUGUCUCAGUCCCUCUGCAGCUGAAAGAGGCCUUGCAGUUUUUAAAGUUUUUUGGGUUUUUGUUCCCAUUCAAUCAGACUGGACAUUUAGAAAGCAGAGUGAUUUUCUAUCAAGGAAAAAAAAAAAAAAAAAAAAAAUCUUAUUUUCUUUGUGUUUUAAAAGGUCAAAAGCAAGCCCAAAUCUUCCA